RNAcentral lists this ribosomal RNA (255 nucleotides) under uncultured bacterium. Its description in RNAcentral is "partial 16S ribosomal RNA". It matches the Rfam family "Bacterial small subunit ribosomal RNA", at positions 524 to 776 of the family's 1533-position model. The record is from RNAcentral.
UACGUAGGCAGCGAGCGUUGUUCGGAGUUACUGGGCGUAAAGGGUGUGUAGGCGGUUGUUUUAAGUUUGGUGUGAAAUCUCCCGGCUCAACUGGGAGGGUGCGCCGAAUACUGAAUGACUUCGAGUGCGGGAGAGGAAAGUGGAAUUCCUGGUGUAGCGGUGAAAUGCGUAGAUAUCAGGAGGAACACCGGUGGCGAAGGCGGGUCUCUGGGCCACUACUGACGCUGAGAAGCGAAAGCGUGGGGAGCGAACAGG